Numida meleagris (helmeted guineafowl) is the source of this 588-nucleotide long non-coding RNA. RefSeq lists it as uncharacterized. NCBI's taxonomy places the organism in Eukaryota, Metazoa, Chordata, Aves, Galliformes, Numididae. The record is from RefSeq and is a predicted model, not a curated record. The transcript has 3 exons.
UGCUGCCUGAGAGCAUUGCUUAAAGAAGUAUAUGUUAUCAUCUCUUAACCUGCUCAGACACCUUGGAACUUAUUCUAUGUCUCAUUUUCACGUACUUGCACUAGAUGUUUUCUUCCAUCCCAAUAUGAAAAAUAGAGAAAGGAAGAAAUAACUGCCCACAAAUGAAGUGCAAAGGUUUAUAUUCACUGCUCUAAUAUGGCUACAAAUAUCUGUGUCUUUUCUAUGGCUCCAAACAGCUCUAAAUUUAAGCUUUUGGUAACUAUAAGCUCUCCCUCUGGGAUGCAUUCCUUAUGUGGAGCAUGGAGAGGCAGAAGAGGCGAUUCAAGCCAUUGCUAAGCUUCCCCUUGGCUGAAGGCAAUCCACCAGCUGCCCCACCAGCACUACAGGGCUGGCAGUGCCUCCUGCCUGCAGGCUACAGAGAUGCCAACACUGUAAUGUUGAAGGCAUUGGAAAAAAACAGAUGUGCCCCAUAUGGCAGGAGACGCUGGGAUUCCUCAGCAGUGGCAUUGCAGUUCUUGAAAACUUCAAGAUACAUUGAACCCUGAGAAAAAAUGAUAGAUAAGGAAAUACAGAAAAUUCCUUUCACUC